AAAAUACUCACUUUUAUCCAUUGUCUUGGAGAGCCGUCCGAGAAAGUUUUCUGGUUCAAGUGAUCGUUUGAACGCGUCAAAUUUAUAAAGGUGUCCGUGAAGGAAAUCGGUGUUGAGUGACCGCUGGGUGUCAUCCUUGUUCUAUGAAUGAACUUGUUCAAUAGGUGGGAAGCUGAGCAAGGGUCGCUCCGACCCUUGUCACCGUAAAUUCGCGGGGAAGAGAGACGCUAGGGGGUGACCGACCGUAAUUCAUAGAUGCACUCGUCAGAAAACUGUCAAAAACAUGCUACUCCUGCAUGAGAUAUGACGGUUUUAAUGAACAAUGUCUGUAAAGAUAUUAUGGUUUUGUUUAUCUGAAACAGUCGGUUUGAGUAUAUUUUUUAUAACCGUUCGUGGACACUGAGAACUCGCGCAUGCAGGGCACGCGCACUCUCUCUGUCUGUCUGACAGCGCGGAGGCUGCCUAUAUUCUGAGACAGGGUAAGACCAUUCAGAGAGAGUCCGACAGAUGGAGCUGCGAGCCCGUUUCUCACAAAGCUGAAGCUUCGGUCUAAAAUAAGUGUGGCUUCUCCAGUUACCUACGAAGAAGCAAAUGGGCCAUCCACAUCCAACACAGCACCCAUCUCAGAGGGGCCGGGGCCGUGGUCGCAGCUGUAGCUGUACUAUAAGUACAUGGGGGGAGUUUACACCCCCAACAAGAUGCUCGGAACAAAGUCGGUGCACCAUAAAACAAGUGCAGCCCUGGACAGAGGAAAAAUGCCAGCCUUGCGAAACCCGGCUUUGAUGUUUUGGACUGUGACAGCAGUGGGGUAGACAUGUUUGAGGAAAGCUGAAAACUGCUUCUUCCCACAACAAUGUCCCCUCGCACCAGACCCAUCCUGGAAGCCAUGGUGGAGAAAGCAGUCUUCAGUGGGUUGAAGACCGCAAUAUCGAGGGGCUGUAGUAUGUGUGUGGUGUGGGCAGGUAGGCAGAGAAUUUCCAUCUUGUUUUCUCUGCAGAACAUGAUUACAUCUUUUCAUACAUGUGUCUCGUGUUGGUCCAUGAUUAAAAUUAGUGGUCUCUCAUAUCUGAUGAAAUGGAGCCAUUUCAAGAAGAGCUCUGAGUCCAUGUAACCCUUCUCCUGGAUGCCAUAGAGAGCGUUUGGGGGCCCAU
Cyprinus carpio carpio is the source of this 1151-nucleotide long non-coding RNA. The record is from Ensembl. Lineage: Eukaryota; Metazoa; Chordata; Actinopteri; Cypriniformes; Cyprinidae.